This 253-nucleotide ribosomal RNA is filed under the name uncultured bacterium. RNAcentral's name for it is "partial 16S ribosomal RNA". It matches the Rfam family "Bacterial small subunit ribosomal RNA", at positions 524 to 776 of the family's 1533-position model. The record is from RNAcentral.
UACGUAGGGGGCAAGCGUUGUCCGGAUUUAUUGGGCGUAAAGAGCGUGUAGGCGGCCUGACAGGUCUGCUGUGAAAACUCGAGGCUCAACCUCGAGAUGUCGGCGGAAACCGUCUGGCUAGAGUCCGGAAGAGGAGAGUGGAAUUCCUGGUGUAGCGGUGAAAUGCGCAGAUAUCGGGAGGAACACCAGUAGCGAAGGCGGCUCGCUGGGCCAUACCUGACGCUGAGACGCGAAAGCGUGGGGAGCGAACAGG